GGGACUUGGAACAAACAGCCCAAUUAGUAAUGAUAAUAAUCAUCAUCCUGGUAAUAGCUAACUCUCACAUAGCACCUCCUGUGCCAUGUGGGAGGCUCUAUUCUCAGCACUGUGCAUGUUAAUUCAUUUAAUCCCCACAACACCUCUAUGAGUUAGGUCCCACCAUCAUCCCUACUUUGCAGAUUUUGAAGCUGAGACACAGAGAGGUUAAGCAACUUGUUCAAGAUCACACAGCGAGAAGAGAGUAGAGUCAGAUUCAAAUCCAGGAAGUCUGCUUCCAGAACACACCCCCUUCACCGCAUCACUAAAGCGCCCCUAAAGCCGGCACUCAGUGAGCGGCUGUCAACCCUUAUGUAGCCCCUACCACGAGCCGAGCACUGCCCAGUGCUUCUCACAGACUCACUCAUUUCAUGCUCACAACCCUACAAGGCAGAUCUCGCUAUCAUCCCCAUUUUCCAGAUGAGAAAACUGAGGCUCAGAGAGAUUAAGAAACCCCCCUAAGGGGUGUUGAGUAAAUGAAGUAGGGAAGGGAAGGGGAAGGGAGGGGAGCGGAGGAGAGGGCAAGAAGGGAGGGAAGGGAGAAAGGGAAGGGGGGAGGAAGGAGGUGGGGAGAGG
Molecule: long non-coding RNA, 615 nt
Filed under: Homo sapiens (human)
Lineage: Eukaryota; Metazoa; Chordata; Mammalia; Primates; Hominidae
Description: HSALNT0261129
Source: RNAcentral